UACGUAGGUGGCAAGCGUUGUCCGGAAUCACUGGGCGUAAAGCGCGCGCAGGCGGCGAUCUACGUCUGGGGUGAAAGCCCGGAGCUCAACUCCGGGACUGCCUUGGAUACGGGAUCGCUUGAGGAUUGGAGAGGCAAGGGGAAUUCCACGUGUAGCGGUGAAAUGCGUAGAGAUGUGGAGGAACACCUGUGGCGAAGGCGCCUUGCUGGCCAAUUACUGACGCUGAGGCGCGAAAGCGUGGGGAGCAAACAGG
Molecule: ribosomal RNA, 253 nt
Filed under: uncultured bacterium
Lineage: Bacteria
Description: partial 16S ribosomal RNA
Rfam family: Bacterial small subunit ribosomal RNA
Source: RNAcentral